GGUCAGUGAUGUGAUGUAAAAGGUCUGAAUCUCAGCUCCUCCCUCAGCUGCCAUUUUACCUCCCAGCAGCCCCCUGCUUUUUGCUGCUAUCAUGCUAUAGUGGUGCAGUGGUGGUCACAGGAGCUGCUGCCAGACAGGAAGUUACAUCAAAACGAGUCUGUACAGAGAUCCUAUAGGCUCAGUGUGAUGACUGACAUCCGACAGAACCAAUAGAUAGAAGUAUAAGGCAGAGGGGGAGUGAUCUGAGAGAUGAUCUCACUCUGCUGCUGAGACC
Echeneis naucrates (live sharksucker) is the source of this 274-nucleotide non-coding RNA. Ensembl annotates it as small Cajal body-specific RNA 6. Lineage: Eukaryota; Metazoa; Chordata; Actinopteri; Carangiformes; Echeneidae. The record is from Ensembl.